Molecule: long non-coding RNA, 2806 nt
Organism: Ctenopharyngodon idella (grass carp)
Lineage: Eukaryota; Metazoa; Chordata; Actinopteri; Cypriniformes; Xenocyprididae
Exons: 2
Source: RefSeq, a predicted model, not a curated record
UUCAAAAUGGAAACAAUAAAGGCAUCAGAUUGUUUUGGAUGUGUUCAGCAUCUCUUACUAAAUGUGUGUUUAUCACUAAAUAUGUGUCAGCAUCAUCAGAUAUACAUAACUGUGUAAUUUAUAUUGACAAAAUAUUAUGUAGGCCUAUUUCCGUUUACAAAUUUUAGUAUAACUAUUGACAAAUAUACUGAAAGAAUUAAUCUGGACUAUGGUUCAUUAUGUAUAUAUCUAUAUGGUUCAUAUUUUGUUUUGUUGUUUCUGCAGCUAAUAGGAUUUCAUGAAAUUGGGUAAAUUAAAUCCCUUUUAUAACUUGUGUGAACAACAUUGAUAUGAUUGUGACAGAAAAUAUGAGCAAAAUUACUGAAAUAACAAAACUGCAAUCGUGCUGAACUUGUAGCAGGUGAAAUAAAGGAUCUUCAUGAUGAAAAAUGACUUUAAUUCUGUUCAUAAAGAUUUUUAUAAAUAUCAGAUGAAGUUGUAGGGACAUGUUUUAUCCAUGUCAUAAGCAGUAAAAUUUAUCAGACAAAUAAUACUCAAAAACUACAAGAUAUAAUUAAAUUUUAUAUAUGGAAUAGAAUGGAAUAUUUAUAUAGUUCAGCAGUAUUAUUUGUUUGAUGCAUUUUGGAAUAUCAAGGAAUUUUACAACCAUGAUUUCUAUAAACUUUUUAUGAGCUUUUUUAUUCUAUGUUUAUUCUAUUCCUUUUUUAUGACUUUUUUUUAUUCUGUGCUUUUUAAAAAGCUUUUUAACACUACUUUUGUUAAAAAAAACUAUUAAACCUAUCCGCUUUAAAAUUUCCCGAUGUUCCAAUGCCAGUGAGAGCCAUGUACAAAAGGAUAGAAUAGAAUAGAAUAGAAUAGAAUAGAAUAGAAUAGAAUAGACAUUUAUGCACUCAUUCAACUUUUCUGGAAAAAUGCAUGUGAUUGGCUACAAAAAAAAAAUAUUAAACAGAAUUGCAUGAGAAAAAAAUACCCACAAAUUAGCCCACAUACAAAAGUUUUUCUAUUCCACUACACAUUUACUAUUUUUUCUACUUUAUUGUAGUCUAUAUAUGUGCACUAUGAAUGCUGUCUAGGUAGGCAGCUCAGUAGGGUUUGAGACGCAGCCGAUGUUUUUAAUAUUUACAUGCAUACAAAAUCUCAUAAAUAGAGUAACUGCUCACAUUUGAAUGAGCACAACCUAUACAACACAUCACCGAUGCUAUUCAUAAUCAGUAAUGACUGUGAAUUACACGACCACCCCCUUGUUGCAAGAAAGACAAAGCGCGUGACGCGAGAGAACAGGACAGGGAAGAGUUAACCAUUACCGCUGUCUUUGGGGAGAUGGUGAUGUAAACCCUAAACCAUGUGACACUUUAAUAAAUCAUAGCGCCGACAGAAACAAACACACACUGUUCCAUCGACAGGCGAACAAAAACCAUUCUCCACAUCUAAUCAAACACAGCAGCGGGAAAAGAAGAUUAGAUAGAGCGCGCGCGGGAGGAUGUGCUGUCUGCCGGUGGAGCAGACUUUAGGCGCGCUCGGAGACUCCGUGUGCGCGCACGGAUGCGCUCCGCUGCCGUUUGCGCACCGACUGCGCUGGAUCGGAGACCAGCUGGAGAAGAGAUGGGCUGCAAACGACAAAAGCUCCAACGAUGGACAACGAAGCGGCGGGAAAAACAUCAUCAAAAGCUUCCAAAUAGUGUGCACAGUCAUUCAAGUAACGCUUCUGGUGUUUUUAGUCAAAAAGCGACACCUGUAGGUGAGACGAGGCCCUGCUGGUCUACAGCAACAGAUGAAUCUUCAGAUUCUCCUGGGACGAUCCGCUCCAGAUUUAUCGGAAAGGAGAAGGUGCCGGUCACGUCUGCACUCUGUAGAAACUUGCCAUGCAAACAGUGGGUCAAUGUUUUCUCAUCCAUGUAUAUCUCACAACUUUUGCAGUAGUGUUGUAAUGGAAACAUGCAAACAGCAGAUGCAUCUGUGCUGUACAUUACAAGCUGAUCACUCUCAUAACGACCAAUACUUCAUCCUGAAGUCUUCUUGAUUACCGAAGCAUGGCAAGCCGAUGUCAUUUGGUACGCAUUUGUUUGGUUUGAAGUCUUAAGGUCAGUGCAGUCAAACCCAGCGGUGUCUCCUGGGGUAACUUUCAAAAUAAAAGGCUGAUGUCAUUGUCCCUUGGCGUUUACGAGGAAAUUUUUUCUACCACUAUGGCAAUAGGAGCCUUGCCUCAACUUUGAUGACCUUACAGUUGAGUUUUUCUUGUUGAGAGGGUGCUUUGGAUAUGCAAAAGCUGUAAAUGGUUAAAAUAUGAUCAAUCACGGUCAAUCUUCAGAGGAGAGAUACCAAAAACACUGCUACCAAAACCUCUCCUCUGCAUAAUGCACUGUAACAUUUAGUUAUAAGCUACUGCAAGUGACUAUGCCAUUCAAUAUCUGAGCUGUGAUUUUGUUUCUUUGUUGUUUUUAUGAGAUAUUUAUUACUUUUAUUGUCCUUUACACUGUACUCUUCUCAAUGGAAAGCAUAUUUAUACUGUAGAAUGAUUUUAAGUGUAUUUGAACUUGAUGUUGUUUACAGAUGAAGACAAAUCUUUUUUAGGACUUUUUAUAAAGGGCUUCUGGCUUGAUUGUUUGUGUCAGUGUUAAUAUAGAAAUGUGACAUGAAUGAGAUUUCAUGCGAAAUGUGAAUCAAAAGGGCAUGCUACUGAUGUUUACAUAAGCUACAAUCUUUUAUAGUUUACGUUACUACCAUGUGUUUUAAACAUGUUUUACCUCUGCUAUUUUGAUAUUGUGAGUUUUGUCAUUUAUGAAAAUAAAAAGGCUUUAAAUAGACA